This 148-nucleotide non-coding RNA is filed under the name Gorilla gorilla gorilla (western lowland gorilla). Lineage: Eukaryota; Metazoa; Chordata; Mammalia; Primates; Hominidae. The record is from Rfam by way of RNAcentral.
GCUGGGUGUGGUGACUCACACCUGUAGUCCCAGCUACUCAGGAGGCUGAGGCAGGAGGAUCACUUGAGCCUGGGAAGUCAGAGCUGCAGUGAGCUGAGAUUGCACCAUUGCACUCCAGCCUGGGCAAGAGAGUGAGACCCUGUCUAAA